Molecule: ribosomal RNA, 465 nt
Filed under: Vreelandella stevensii
Lineage: Bacteria; Pseudomonadati; Pseudomonadota; Gammaproteobacteria; Oceanospirillales; Halomonadaceae
Description: partial 16S ribosomal RNA
Rfam family: Bacterial small subunit ribosomal RNA
Source: RNAcentral
CCUACGGGGGGCUGCAGUGGGGAAUAUUGGACAAUGGGGGGAACCCUGAUCCAGCCAUGCCGCGUGUGUGAAGAAGGCCCUCGGGUUGUAAAGCACUUUCUGUGAGGAAGAACGCCUGGUGGUUAAUACCCAUCAGGAAAGACAUCACUCACAGAAGAAGCACCGGCUAACUCCGUGCCAGCAGCCGCGGUAAUACGGAGGGUGCGAGCGUUAAUCGGAAUUACUGGGCGUAAAGCGCGCGUAGGUGGCUUGAUAAGCCGGUUGUGAAAGCCCCGGGCUCAACCUGGGAACGGCAUCCGGAACUGUCAAGCUAGAGUGCAGGAGAGGAAGGUAGAAUUCCCGGUGUAGCGGUGAAAUGCGUAGAGAUCGGGAGGAAUACCAGUGGCGAAGGCGGCCUUCUGGACUGACACUGACACUGAGGUGCGAAAGCGUGGGUAGCAAACAGGAUUAGAUACCCCGGUAGUC